RNAcentral lists this small RNA (182 nucleotides) under Chrysemys picta bellii (western painted turtle). RNAcentral describes it as "TUC338 (ENSCPBG00000014436.1)". The record is from RNAcentral. Lineage: Eukaryota; Metazoa; Chordata; Testudines; Emydidae.
GUGACAGAGCUGGAGAGUGAAGUCCUCUAAUAAUCCACAGCACAGGUAGCGCACUGGCGGCAGCAUGGGGUGCUUCCCUCCCUGCUGCCGCAUCAAUUGGGCCUCACCCGUGACAUGGAGAGACCAUCUCUGGUGGUGAGGGGAGAGCGUAGGCUCCAAGGACCGUUCUUUCCACCUCUCUC